Molecule: ribosomal RNA, 368 nt
Filed under: uncultured organism
Description: bacterial SSU rRNA
Rfam family: Bacterial small subunit ribosomal RNA
Source: RNAcentral
CGGAGGGUGCAAGCGUUAUCCGGAUUCACUGGGUUUAAAGGGUGCGUAGGUGGGUUGGUAAGUCAGUGGUGAAAUCUCCGUGCUUAACAUGGAAGCUGCCAUUGAUACUACUGAUCUUGAAUUUUCUGGAGGUAAGCGGAAUAUGUCAUGUAGCGGUGAAAUGCUUAGAUAUGACAUAGAACACCAAUUGCGAAGGCAGCUUGCUACAGGGAUAUUGACACUGAGGCACGAAAGCGUGGGGAUCAAACAGGAUUAGAUACCCUGGUAGUCCACGCCCUAAACGAUGGAUACUCGACAUUUGUGAUACACAAUAAGUGUCUGAGCGAAAGCAUUAAGUAUCCCACCUGGGAAGUACGACCGCAAGGUUG